RNAcentral lists this microRNA precursor (75 nucleotides) under Cajanus cajan (pigeon pea). RNAcentral's name for it is "miRNA gene-KK1_031791". The record is from RNAcentral. Lineage: Eukaryota; Viridiplantae; Streptophyta; Magnoliopsida; Fabales; Fabaceae.
UUUUAAGAUCGGCUACUUAAGAGCCGAUUUUAAAAGCUACUUUUAACAUCGGCUCCUUAAGAGCCGAUUUUAAAA